Molecule: RNase P RNA, 341 nt
Filed under: uncultured Niameybacter sp.
Lineage: Bacteria; Bacillati; Bacillota; Clostridia; Lachnospirales; Lachnospiraceae
Description: Bacterial RNase P class A
Rfam family: Bacterial RNase P class A
About the family: Ribonuclease P (RNase P) is a ubiquitous endoribonuclease, found in archaea, bacteria and eukarya as well as chloroplasts and mitochondria.
Source: RNAcentral
GUAAGUCAGAUAGUCGCGUCUACAAAGUCGAAAGGCUGUAGAUGAGGAACGUCCGGGCUCCAUAGAGCAAGGUGCUGGGUAACACCCAGUGGAGGCGACUCUAAGGAAAGUGCAACAGAAAUAAACCACCUACUGUAAAGUAGGAAAGGAUGGAAAGGCGAGGUAAGAGCUCACCGCAUCUUAGGUGACUAAGAUGGCUAUGUAAACCCCACCUGGAGCAAGACCGGAUAAAGACAUAUGUGGCUGCUCGUCACGUCUUAGGUAGGUCGCUAGAGCAUGCAGGCAACUGUAUGUCGAGAUAGAUGACUGUCUAACACAGAACCCGGCGUAUAGACUUGGUU